This is a long non-coding RNA of Aquila chrysaetos chrysaetos, 1739 nucleotides long. RefSeq lists it as uncharacterized. The record is from RefSeq and is a predicted model, not a curated record. NCBI's taxonomy places the organism in Eukaryota, Metazoa, Chordata, Aves, Accipitriformes, Accipitridae. The transcript has 5 exons.
AAAGGACAUGGGCGCCUUGUGGCAAGACUGUGGGUGAGAGCAGCCGACACGGACCCCAUGUGAAUCAUGCUCAAACGUCCUCACAAACACUCUGGGAGGUUCCUUGUGGUGAAAUCUGCACUGCCUGCGCCAAUCGCUGUCGUGUGCUCAGAAAAUAGGCGACAACAGGAAUAACGGCAGGUCAAUGUGCACCUAGGAUAGAGAACAGGAUGGGGGUGAAGGAUAAAUGAGGCAUGUACACAAGGCACCUGGGAAAACACUAUUUGCAGGCUCACGGGAUGUCUCUGGGAUCAGAUACACUGAGCUAAGGUAACAGAAGAACCAAACUGGCUCACAAACUCAAGGACAACAACGUGCUACCGCGACGGCAGCGAGGUAGGCGUAGUACAGCAGGAGACCUGGUUCACUUACUUCUUAACGUUCUUCCAGCCUUCGUACGUCGUUGUGCUGCUUUCUUGUACACGGCUGCUGCAGCUGUUGAAGGGGAAUGAAGCUGAAGGGUGGUUUCCGUCGUCUCGGGACGCGUUCCCAGGGUGAUGAAGCCCCGCCAGUACCGCAGGCCGGGAAGCCGGGGCGCUGCAGGGCUCAGCCACCACCAGGUGGCGGCUGGAGUCCAGAGAUCCGGCCCCGGCCCGGCCCGGCCUUGUUCUGCCUCUGGCCCCGCCGCCCCCCGCUCCACGGUCCCAGCGGGUACAGCCGGGCGCGGGGGGAGCCGCCGGGGCUCACACCCUGACGCGAAAAGAUAAAACAAAACAAACAAGGGAGAGCCACAGUUGUCAAAUAACCAGUGUAGCGGAGUUGGAAAGUCCCAACUAACUGCUCUUUUGUCUUUGCUCGAGUUCAGCUUCAGUGAACGCAGCCGGGCCCCAGUUGGUGAUUAAGUGAGGAUUCUUGGAGCCUGGAAAAUAGAGUGCAAUACUUGAAACAGGCGUUUCUGACAGGGACAUCGCUCACCCACUGUCGGUGGGACUGGCAGAGUGUCGCCACGGGAUGAUUUGGCAAGUCCUCCCUUGGGAGCACUGUAUUCCACACACAUCUGGAUGAUGGCACUGCAACAGCACGGGAUGGAUAAAGGGGUGGAAAUCAGCUAAGGAGGUUGGCUUUGCUAAGAGAUGAGCAACUACAACAAAAAACAAUGGUAAGGGACAGAAGAAGGUGAGGGGAUGCUGCAUAUCCACAGUCACCCAGUCUCUGAUCCUCAUUCCCCGAACUGUCACUGACGAGAGCAGGAAAUCAGGGGUGCUGUGGCACCAGAGACGUCCUCCCACUCAGCCCCUCGGUGUGCUAGGGACAACAGCAGUCAGCUGGCUUUGAACGGUGUCAGGAUAAAGCACCAAAACCUCGGCAUUCAGCAAUACAUAACAUGCGCUUCACAGAACGUAAGCACAGCUCCUGAAGUCAGCAAGAAAGGCUUGCUGUCAAGUGUGGUAGGACAGCAUGUCUGCUCCACUGGUCUGCAGUCUGCUUUCCCGCAGCUAACCAAAAUCCCAGGGACCCAGAAAGUGAUCGUAUUCAGGAAUUCACACUCAGCCCAUAAGGAAGCACUGUGUGCAUUUACGUUCCAAGAUGUUCCAUCACAUCAACUUGACUAUUUCUACUACUUUUCUCCAGCUAACAGAAAAGCCUGUUAUGCCUGACAAAGCCCUUGAAGAUUGAAAAUUAGUUUUUUGGAAAUUCUCCGUAUGGAUUAUACUAACGGCGUGGUAAAGCUACAAUAUUUCUUUAAUUUUUUAUGUUUG